Molecule: long non-coding RNA, 1269 nt
Organism: Silurus meridionalis
Lineage: Eukaryota; Metazoa; Chordata; Actinopteri; Siluriformes; Siluridae
Exons: 3
Source: RefSeq, a predicted model, not a curated record
GAGCCCUUUCCUGUUUGCAGUGGUGAUGGACAGGUUGAUGGACGAGGUCAGGCAGGAGUCUCUGUGGACUAUGAUGUUUGUGGAUGAUCUUGUGAUUUGUGGUGAGAGUAGGGAGCAGGUGGAGGAGAGCCUGGAGAAGUGAAGGUCUGUAGUGACCCCUAAUGGGAGCACCCGAAAGAAGAGUUUUGUGUGUGUAGACAGUGUAUGCAGACCCACAGUUUUGGCAGCUGGAGCUGUUCCCCAGUUAAGAAGAGGAUAUGGUGCGUGACGGCUCGGAUGUGUCUGAUUCUAGCGUGCUCCCUUCAGCGCUUCACUGUAUGAAGUAGAGUUUCUGCUCAUCAUCACCGAGAACGUGAAUCAGAAGCAGGAUGUGAAGAUCUCGCCUGCUGGAGCACUGGACGUCCCAAAUCCUUUAAAUCUCACUAUAUAUACACUUCUCCAACAUUUAAGUGUCCUGUAAACUAAUCCAAACGUUAACCUGGUAACUGUACAAUUUUGUCUAGGGUUCUACUGAUCGUGAUAUUCUAAUCACCAUGAUUGCGAUGUAGGUCAAACUCAUUGCCGGGGGUGUUGCUGCUGUCUGGCUAAGAUUUACUUCAGCUCAGAAAUGUGUGUAUGGCAGUGAAAACUACAACCCAUGUUCUCAUGUGUAUAUCAUGAUGUAAGAGUAAGGGUACCAGGGGAACGCUUAAAGACUGUUGGAGCACAAAAACCAACACAGAAAGGUUCCAGAUCAAUGUAAAUAUAUAUACUGUAUGAAUGUGGCUUUUGGAAUCUCCUCCUGGGUCCUCCUGGGUCAACCCGCCGCCUCUUCCUCCUGGGUUGACCCGCCGCCGCUUUCUCCUGGGUCCUCCUCCUCCUGGGUCGACCCGCCGCAGCCUCCUCCUGGGUCCUCCUCCUCUUGGGUCCUCCUGGGUCGAGCCGCCGCCGCCACCUCCUGGGUCCAGCCGCCGCCUCCUGGGUCCAGCCGCCGCCGCCGCCUCCUGGGUCCUCCUCCUCCUGGGAACAGACUCUGUCCCUCCAAAAGCUUGUUAUAUGGGAGUGGUAGCUCAGUAGUUAAGGUGCUGGGUUACUGAUCGGAAGGCUGGGGGUUCAAGCCCCGGUAUAGCCAAGCUUGAGCAAGGCUCUUAACCCUCUGUGCUUCAGGGGCUGCCACUGCACUCUGACCCUAGCUUCUGAGCAAGCUGGGAUAUGGGAAGGAAGAAUUUCACUGUGCUGUAAUGUCUAUGUACCAAAUAAAGUCUAUUCUAUAAUAAACUCCAAAUCAGA